This 285-nucleotide ribosomal RNA is filed under the name Mortierella sp. Its description in RNAcentral is "partial large subunit ribosomal RNA". The record is from RNAcentral. Lineage: Eukaryota; Fungi; Mortierellomycota; Mortierellomycetes; Mortierellales; Mortierellaceae.
AAACGUUUGACACCAGUCAUGUGGGUGGAAAAUCAGUCUUUUGCAUUGGGGAGUUGUAAAGGUUCGGACCGCAAGGCCGGCUUUUGCUUCAUCUUUGGUGUAAGGGAUGCACUUUUUCAUCUACAGGUCAACAUCAGUUUCUUUUGCUGGACAAAACUCCGAGAGAAGGUAGCAGCUUAGGCUGUGUUAUAGCUCUGGAGCGAUACAGUGAAGGGGACUGAGGUUUUCGCAGCGUGUGCUCUCGGGCAAGGCUGGAUGGGUGCUAUGGGAUCGUUCGGGGUACAA